CUGAGAGAUAACGGCGCCUCCCUGUAGCCUCCGUUCUCAGCUGAUGAGAGAGUUGAUUUCACACCCCGAUAAUUCUUCAACAUCAGAUCGCUGGACCUGAAACUGACCCUAAAAAGAACAAGAAAUCCUGUCAUCAGGAAUCCAGUGAAGAACUCCAUGAUCCUAGAGCCAAAGCCGCUCAAUGAUCUCUUGGUGAUCACUGAAUUGAACCACCGAGGGAUCUGCUGGCUCUUCUAAAAUCACUACAGUGUCACUACCACAGCACUACAGCAUCACUGCCACAACCAAGAAAACCACCACCAUCAGAAAGCUCCUGCCUGCUGCCAGCUCCAGAACCAUGCAGCACCUGCAUCAACACCAGUAAAACAGAUGACUUAUGGCCCGCCUCUCAAGUCUUAAAAAUCCAUUAUGGGUCACUGGAGACUCUGCUAACAACACUAUACAGGAGAACCAAACAACAGUUAAAACUGCAGAAAUGUAGUCCCCGCCUCAUUUCUAGCCUCCAAAUUCCAUGUGACUACAUCUGAUUUGCUAGAUAUAGUUUGUUUAAGCUACAUUUUUUUUUCCAAAUCAUGACUGCCUGAGAA
Molecule: long non-coding RNA, 587 nt
Organism: Gorilla gorilla gorilla (western lowland gorilla)
Lineage: Eukaryota; Metazoa; Chordata; Mammalia; Primates; Hominidae
Exons: 3
Source: RefSeq, a predicted model, not a curated record